GAGGGGCCUGAAUUGUCAAAACUGAAACUUAAGUUACUAAUAGUAACCAAAGCAAAACCAAACACCCCAAAACUUGGUGUCUGGUCGAUCAAGAGAGAGGGGCGACCAGGGGAUUUGCUUCAAACCCUAGUUUGUCACAAACAGCUCAAAUUGGAAGCCCAAAUUAAGUCCAAAUCGAAUUCUAAACACAAAUUAGUGAUCACCUCGGCAUAAGGAUCAAAAGGACAAGAUACCGGGACGUCGAGCGGACAAGCCGGUGGUGAUUCUCGGUUGAAGGGCGUGCGCUAAGGUAAUUUGGCGGAUCUUACAGGUGGCGAUCAAGCGAUUUAGUGAAGAACCGAACACUCUUUUUUUGAAGCUUCCGCAAUG
Helianthus annuus (common sunflower) is the source of this 369-nucleotide long non-coding RNA. RefSeq lists it as uncharacterized. The transcript is spliced from 3 exons. NCBI's taxonomy places the organism in Eukaryota, Viridiplantae, Streptophyta, Magnoliopsida, Asterales, Asteraceae. The record is from RefSeq and is a predicted model, not a curated record.